UACGAAGGUGGCAAGCGUUACUCGGAAUUACUAGGCGUAAAGGGCAGGUAGGUGGUCUGACAAGUCUGUUGUGGAAGCUCCCGGCUUAACUGGGAGAGGUCAACGGAAACUGUCAGGCUUGAGUGUGGGAGAGGAUAUUGGAAUUCCCGGUGUAGCGGUGAAAUGCGCAGAGAUCGGGAGGAACACCUGUGGCGAAAGC
Molecule: ribosomal RNA, 199 nt
Filed under: uncultured prokaryote
Description: partial 16S ribosomal RNA
Rfam family: Bacterial small subunit ribosomal RNA
Source: RNAcentral